CGCGUAGGCGGCUUGGUCAGUCGGAUGUGAAAGCCCCGGGCUUAACCUGGGAAUUGCAUUCGAUACUGCCUGGCUAGAAUGUAGUAGAGGGAAGUGGAAUUCCAGGUGUAGCGGUGAAAUGCGUAGAUAUCUGGAGGAACAUCAGUGGCGAAGGCGACUUCCUGGACUAACAUUGACGCUGAGGUGCGAAAGCGUGGGGAGCAAACA
Molecule: ribosomal RNA, 207 nt
Filed under: uncultured bacterium
Lineage: Bacteria
Description: partial 16S ribosomal RNA
Rfam family: Bacterial small subunit ribosomal RNA
Source: RNAcentral